AGAGUUUGAUCAUGGCUCAGAUUGAACGCUGGCGGCAGGCCUAACACAUGCAAGUCGAGCGGUAACAGGGGAAGCUUGCUUCUCGCUGACGAGCGGCGGACGGGUGAGUAAUGUAUGGGGAUCUGCCCGAUAGAGGGGGAUAACUACUGGAAACGGUAGCUAAUACCGCAUAAUCUCUCAGGAGCAAAGCAGGGGAACUUCGGUCCUUGCGCUAUCGGAUGAACCCAUAUGGGAUUAGCUAGUUGGUGAGGUAAUGGCUCACCAAGGCGACGAUCCCUAGCUGGUCUGAGAGGAUGAUCAGCCACACUGGGACUGAGACACGGCCCAGACUCCUACGGGAGGCAGCAGUGGGGAAUAUUGCACAAUGGGCGCAAGCCUGAUGCAGCCAUGCCGCGUGUAUGAAGAAGGCCUUAGGGUUGUAAAGUACUUUCAGUUGGGAGGAAGGCGUUGAUGCUAAUAUCAUCAACGAUUGACGUUACCAACAGAAGAAGCACCGGCUAACUCCGUGCCAGCCGCCGCGGUAAUAC
RNAcentral lists this ribosomal RNA (527 nucleotides) under uncultured bacterium. RNAcentral describes it as "bacterial SSU rRNA". It matches the Rfam family "Bacterial small subunit ribosomal RNA", at positions 8 to 526 of the family's 1533-position model. The record is from RNAcentral.